Molecule: transfer RNA, 80 nt
Filed under: Caudoviricetes sp.
Lineage: Duplodnaviria; Heunggongvirae; Uroviricota; Caudoviricetes
Description: tRNA-Leu
Rfam family: tRNA
About the family: Transfer RNA (tRNA) molecules are approximately 80 nucleotides in length. Their secondary structure includes four short double-helical elements and three loops (D, anti-codon, and T loops). Further hydrogen bonds mediate the characteristic L-shaped molecular structure. tRNAs have two regions of fundamental functional importance: the anti-codon, which is responsible for specific mRNA codon recognition, and the 3' end, to which the tRNAs corresponding amino acid is attached (by aminoacyl-tRNA synthetases). tRNAs cope with the degeneracy of the genetic code in two manners: having more than one tRNA (with a specific anti-codon) for a particular amino acid; and 'wobble' base-pairing, i.e. permitting non-standard base-pairing at the 3rd anti-codon position.
Source: RNAcentral
GCGGAUGUGGUGAAAUUGGCAGACACGAUAGAUUUAGGUUCUAUUGCUCCGGCAUGCAGGUUCAAAUCCUGUCAUCCGCA